Pan troglodytes (chimpanzee) is the source of this 358-nucleotide long non-coding RNA. RefSeq lists it as uncharacterized. The record is from RefSeq and is a predicted model, not a curated record. The transcript has 2 exons. Lineage: Eukaryota; Metazoa; Chordata; Mammalia; Primates; Hominidae.
AGAGUUCCCCCAAUAAACCUCCUGUACUCAGUCCUCUACCAAGAGUCUGCUUCCGGGGGAAUUUGCCCUAAGAUAGUCGUAACAGGACUGGCCCUAGGAAGGAGAAUCUAAAAUGAUAUUUUGGAGCUCCAUCAUCCACUCGCUGGUUUACAAUGAUCUCAUCAUAGACAGCAGAGAAGAGCAUCUCUCUCAGAGGAGGCACUGAACAGCCAAAUACACAGAAGAACUUGUUCGGUUGACAUCCUACCAUCAGCUUCUGCUAUUGGCCACCUGGAUGCUGGUAAAAUGGGCAGAGAGGUAUAUCAGCCACAACUGUAAACUGGAGAGAACAAAAGCCUCCUAUCCUCUAGGAUUGCUG